Molecule: ribosomal RNA, 253 nt
Filed under: uncultured bacterium
Lineage: Bacteria
Description: partial 16S ribosomal RNA
Rfam family: Bacterial small subunit ribosomal RNA
Source: RNAcentral
GACAGAGGUGCCGAGCGUUAGGCGGAAUCACUGGGCUUAAAGCGUGUGUAGGCGGGUGCCUAAGUACCUUGUGAAAUCCCACGGCUCAACCGUGGAACUGCUUGGUAUACUGGGUAUCUUGAGCCACUUAGGGGCAACCGGAACAAACGGUGGAGCGGUGAAAUGCGUAGAUAUCAGGAGGAACACCGAUGGCGAAGGCAGGUCUCUGGGCCACUACUGACGCUGAGAAGCGAAAGCAUGGGGAGCGAACAGG